RNAcentral lists this ribosomal RNA (517 nucleotides) under uncultured bacterium. Its description in RNAcentral is "bacterial SSU rRNA". It matches the Rfam family "Bacterial small subunit ribosomal RNA", at positions 992 to 1509 of the family's 1533-position model. The record is from RNAcentral.
AGAACUUAGCAGAGAUGCUUUGGUGCCUUCGGGAACUCUGAGACAGGUGCUGCAUGGCUGUCGUCAGCUCGUGUUGUGAAAUGUUGGGUUAAGUCCCGCAACGAGCGCAACCCUUAUCCUUUGUUGCCAGCGGUCCGGCCGGGAACUCAAAGGAGACUGCCAGUGAUAAACUGGAGGAAGGUGGGGAUGACGUCAAGUCAUCAUGGCCCUUACGAGUAGGGCUACACACGUGCUACAAUGGCGCAUACAAAGAGAAGCGACCUCGCGAGAGCAAGCGGACCUCAUAAAGUGCGUCGUAGUCCGGAUUGGAGUCUGCAACUCGACUCCAUGAAGUCGGAAUCGCUAGUAAUCGUAGAUCAGAAUGCUACGGUGAAUACGUUCCCGGGCCUUGUACACACCGCCCGUCACACCAUGGGAGUGGGUUGCAAAAGAAGUAGGUAGCUUAACUUUCGGGAGGGCGCUUACCACUUUGUGAUUCAUGACUGGGGUGAAGUCGUAACAAGGUAAGCGUAGCGAG